Phyllostomus discolor (pale spear-nosed bat) is the source of this 148-nucleotide long non-coding RNA. RefSeq lists it as uncharacterized. NCBI's taxonomy places the organism in Eukaryota, Metazoa, Chordata, Mammalia, Chiroptera, Phyllostomidae. The transcript is spliced from 3 exons. The record is from RefSeq and is a predicted model, not a curated record.
AAAUUAAACUUAUUGGACUGACACUGGUUAAUAAAGUUACAUAGGUUUUAGGUAUACAAUUCUAUAAUACAUCAUCUGUACAUUGCAUUGUAUGUUCACCACCCAAAGACAAGUCCCUUCUAUCACCAUAUAUUUGACCCAUUUACCC